GAUGAAGAACGCAGCGAAAUGCGAUAAGUAGUGUGAAUUGCAGAAUUCCGUGAAUCAUCGAAUCUUUGAACGCACAUUGCGCCUUCUGGUAUUCCGGAAGGCAUGCCUGUUCGAGAGUCAUUAACAACCGUUUCGAUCCCUUUCUUUCAGAAAUUACAAAGAGGAAAAGGGUUUGGUUAUGGUGGAGGAGGGAAAGGGAGCGUUUAGCCUGUAAAAAAAGAGGCUGUGUUCCGCCUCCCCCCCAAAAUUGUACAGGCGGUCGUGUGCGCCCACGCAUCGAGGUGUUGUAAAAGCUGCCACGGCACUUUUCACCUGUGCAGUGCGAGAUUGGCCAGCCGGUUUAAAAACCCCUCCAAACAAUCAAAGGUUGACCUCGGAUCAGGUAGGGAUACCCGCUGAACUUAAGCAUACAAUAAGCGGAGGA
This 424-nucleotide unclassified non-coding RNA is filed under the name soil metagenome. Its description in RNAcentral is "partial contains 5.8S ribosomal RNA, internal transcribed spacer 2, and large subunit ribosomal RNA". The stretch from base 1 to 120 matches the Rfam family "5.8S ribosomal RNA", at positions 35 to 154 of the family's 154-position model. The record is from RNAcentral.